CCAAGGAGUCUAACAUGUGCGCGAGUCACUCGGUCUUGAAUAGGCCAGAGAGGCGCAAUGAAAGUAAAGUUGAUUGAGUUACGAUCCUUAGUUAGCCCGCAAGGGCGCUGAGGCGCAGUAACAGCCCGCCAAUUUCGCUUAUUGACGAUCUGGCGGAGUUGUAGCGUACACGUUGGUACCCGAAAGAUGGUGAACUAUGCCUGGGCAAGACGAAGCCAGAGGAAACUCUGGUGGAGGUCUGUAGCGAUUCUGACGUGCAAAUCGAUCGUCAGACCUGGGUAUACGGGCGAAAGACUAAUCGAACCAUC
RNAcentral lists this ribosomal RNA (308 nucleotides) under Malaconothrus monodactylus. Its description in RNAcentral is "eukaryotic LSU rRNA". It matches the Rfam family "Eukaryotic large subunit ribosomal RNA", at positions 666 to 944 of the family's 3401-position model. Lineage: Eukaryota; Metazoa; Arthropoda; Arachnida; Sarcoptiformes; Malaconothridae. The record is from RNAcentral.